GACGAACGCUGGCGGCGUGCCUAAUACAUGCAAGUAGAACGCUGAAGGAGGAGCUUGCUCUUCUGGAUGAGUUGCGAACGGGUGAGUAACGCGUAGGUAACCUGCCUGGUAGCGGGGGAUAACUAUUGGAAACGAUAGCUAAUACCGCAUAAUAGUAGAUGUUGCAUGAUAUUUACUUAAAAGGUGCAAUUGCACCACUACCAGAUGGACCUGCGUUGUAUUAGCUAGUUGGUGGGGUAACGGCUCACCAAGGCGACGAUACAUAGCCGACCUGAGAGGGUGAUCGGCCACACUGGGACUGAGACACGGCCCAGACUCCUACGGGAGGCAGCAGUAGGGAAUCUUCGGCAAUGGACGAAAGUCUGACCGAGCAACGCCGCGUGAGUGAAGAAGGUUGUCGGAUCGUAAAGCUCCGUUGUAAGAGAAGAACGAGUGUGAGAGUGGAAAGUUCACACUGUGACGGUAUCUUACCAGAAAGGGACGGCUAACUACGUG
This 495-nucleotide ribosomal RNA is filed under the name uncultured bacterium. Its description in RNAcentral is "partial 16S ribosomal RNA". It matches the Rfam family "Bacterial small subunit ribosomal RNA", at positions 28 to 507 of the family's 1533-position model. The record is from RNAcentral.